RNAcentral lists this non-coding RNA (22 nucleotides) under Arabidopsis thaliana (thale cress). Lineage: Eukaryota; Viridiplantae; Streptophyta; Magnoliopsida; Brassicales; Brassicaceae. The record is from RNAcentral.
UGAUGAGGUCGAGUAGAGGUCU